This 67-nucleotide transfer RNA is filed under the name Bovicola ovis (sheep biting louse). Its description in RNAcentral is "tRNA-Ser". The record is from RNAcentral. Lineage: Eukaryota; Metazoa; Arthropoda; Insecta; Psocodea; Bovicoliidae.
AACCGACUAGUCUAUCCUUAAGACUUAAACUUUGAAAGUUUACAAAAGAAAUUCUAUCUGUUGGUUU